RNAcentral lists this unclassified non-coding RNA (329 nucleotides) under soil metagenome. Its description in RNAcentral is "partial contains 5.8S ribosomal RNA, internal transcribed spacer 2, and large subunit ribosomal RNA". The stretch from base 1 to 120 matches the Rfam family "5.8S ribosomal RNA", at positions 35 to 154 of the family's 154-position model. The record is from RNAcentral.
GAUGAAGAACGUAGCGAAAUGCGAUAAGUAAUGUGAAUUGCAGAAUUCAGUGAAUCAUCGAAUCUUUGAACGCACAUUGCGCCCCCUGGUAUUCCGGGGGGCAUGCCUGUCCGAGCGUCAUUACAACCCUCAAACUCAGCUUGGUGUUGGGCCCCGCCGCCCCGGCGGGCCCUAAAGUCAGUGGCGGUGCCGUCCGGCUCCGAGCGUAGUAAUUCUUCUCGCUCUGGAGGUCCGGUCGUGUGCUCGCCAGCAACCCCCAAUUUUUUUCAGGUUGACCUCGGAUCAGGUAGGGAUACCCGCUGAACUUAAGCAUAUCAAUAAGCGGAGGA